Molecule: ribosomal RNA, 497 nt
Filed under: uncultured bacterium
Lineage: Bacteria
Description: partial 16S ribosomal RNA
Rfam family: Bacterial small subunit ribosomal RNA
Source: RNAcentral
ACUCAAAUGAAUAGACGGGGGCCCGCACAAGCGGCGGAGCAUGUGGCUUAAUUCGACGCAACGCGAAGAACCUUACCAAGGCUUGACAUAUGGUGAAAACUGGCAGAGAUGUCAGGUCCGCAAGGGCGCCAUACAGGUGGUGCAUGGUUGUCGUCAGCUCGUGUCGUGAGAUGUUGGGUUAAGUCCCGCAACGAGCGCAACCCUUGUUCUAUGUUGCCAGCGAGUAAUGUCGGGGACUCAUAGGAGACUGCCGGGGUCAACUCGGAGGAAGGUGGGGAUGACGUCAAAUCAUCAUGCCCCUUAGGUCUUGGGCUGCACACAUGCUACAAUGGCCGGUACAAAGGGCUGCGAAACCGCGAGGUAGAGCGAAUCCCAAAAAGCCGGUCUCAGUUCGGAUUGGGGUCUGCAACUCGACCCCAUGAAGUCGGAGUCGCUAGUAAUCGCAGAUCAGCAACGCUGCGGUGAAUACGUUCCCGGGCCUUGCACACACCGCCCGU